This 75-nucleotide transfer RNA is filed under the name Candidatus Uhrbacteria bacterium. RNAcentral describes it as "tRNA-Gly". It matches the Rfam family "tRNA". From Rfam's summary of the family: Transfer RNA (tRNA) molecules are approximately 80 nucleotides in length. Their secondary structure includes four short double-helical elements and three loops (D, anti-codon, and T loops). Lineage: Bacteria; Candidatus Uhriibacteriota. The record is from RNAcentral.
GCGGGUAUCGUAUAGUGGCUAUUAUGAGUGCUUCCCAAGCACUAGAGGGGAGUUCGAUUCUCCCUACCCGCUCCA